RNAcentral lists this unclassified non-coding RNA (376 nucleotides) under uncultured Actinomycetes bacterium. Its description in RNAcentral is "uncultured actinobacterium contains 16S-23S intergenic spacer region". Lineage: Bacteria; Bacillati; Actinomycetota; Actinomycetes. The record is from RNAcentral.
UCGCGGCUUAUCACCGGCAGUCCCCCUAGAGUGCCCAACCGAAUGCUGGCAACUAGGGGCAAGGGUUGCGCUCGUUGCGGGACUUAACCCAACAUCUCACGACUCGAGCUGACGACAGCCAUGCAGCACCUGUGUAGGGCCCCGAAGGGAGACCGUGUUUCCACGGCUGUCACCUACAUGUCAAGCCCAGGUAAGGUUCUUCGCGUUGCGUCGAAUUAAACCACAUGCUCCGCUGCUUGUGCGGGCCCCCGUCAAUUCCUUUGAGUUUUAGCCUUGCGGCCGUACUCCCCAGGCGGGGCACUUAAUGCGUUAGCUUCGGCACGGAAGGAGUCGACACCACCCACACCUAGUGUUCAUCGUUUACGGCGUGGACUAC